CCUACGGGUGGCAGCAGUGAGGAAUAUUGGUCAAUGGACGAGAGUCUGAACCAGCCAAGUAGCGUGAAGGAUGACUGCCCUAUGGGUUGUAAACUUCUUUUAUAUGGGAAUCAAACGUUCCACGUGUGGGAUUUUGUAUGUACCAUAUGAAUAAGGAUCGGCUAACUCCGUGCCAGCAGCCGCGGUAAUACGGAGGAUCCGAGCGUUAUCCGGAUUUAUUGGGUUUAAUGGGAGCGUAGGUGGAUUGUUAAGUCAGUUGUGAAAGUUUGCGGCUCAACCGUAAAAUUGCAGUUGAAACUGGCAGUCUUGAGUACAGUAGAGGUGGGCGGAAUUCGUGGUGUAGCGGUGAAAUGCUUAGAUAUCACGAAGAACUCCGAUUGCGAAGGCAGUUCACUGGACUGCAACUGACACUGAGGCUCGAAAGUGUGGGUAUCAAACAGGAUUAGAUACCCUUGUAGUC
This 460-nucleotide ribosomal RNA is filed under the name uncultured bacterium. RNAcentral describes it as "partial 16S ribosomal RNA". It matches the Rfam family "Bacterial small subunit ribosomal RNA", at positions 338 to 795 of the family's 1533-position model. The record is from RNAcentral.